AAAAAAAAAUAAAAAAAAAAAAACAAAAAAAAAACAAAAACAGCAAGUUUUAUUGAGAGUUGUAACUCAUCUGUCUUCAUGAUUUUCCAAAUUUUUCAUUACAGUGGAUCUCUAUAAAUAGGGUGGUAGCCAAAUCCUUUUAAGCGGUAUCUCCAUCCGAUACGGACUUUCAAAACUUUCAGAAGCAUCGAUUAGCACCGUGUGUGACACAGAGAUGAUACAGGAAUUACAUCCGUGGGUGGACGGCAUAUAUAGCUUUUAUUGACCACGAAAGACCAUAUAUUUUUACUUAUAACAUCUACACCCACAGAAGGAGGGGCAUCAUCCUUGCGUCUACCUUUCAAACUCCAUUCCUCAGAUACUCAACAAACCUAGUGAUGUAGUUCUGAUGCAGCUUCCUAUCCCCAAAAAUGGCAGCAGCUAUUUUUGCUUGAUGCCUCAACUGCUUCCCUUCUUCUGAAACCAUAGCUAGUCUCAGAGAUCUAUCAAUAUCAUUUCUAGUAAAUGAUCCAUCGUCCUUCCUGUCCACCUCCACGGCCAAACCUUUCUCUACCAGUAACCUGGCAUUGACCCCUUGGUCAAUAAUGAAGGGCAGAGCAAUUAGACAAAGCCCAUGAUGCAGAGUUUCUAUGAUUGAACCCCACCCAGAGUGAAACAAUGAUCCCCCUAUUGAUGGAUGUGCUAGAAUUUCUUGCUGAGGUGCCCAUCCUAUGCAGACAAUUCCUUUCUUGGAUGUCCUGUCACUGAAUCCUGGAGGCAGAAUAAAAUCUUCGAUAGCCCAGCUAGGUUUUCUAAGUGCCCACAGAAAUGGCAAUUCGGAAAGCUCCAGCCCAUAUGCUAUCUCGUAGACUUGAUCUUUGGUAAGUUUACACUCGCUGCCGAACCCAACAAACACAACUGAUUUGUGUUCUUGAUUAUCAAGCCAUUCAAAGGUCUUCCUCCAGGUUCCAUCAGUGAUUUCUAUUUUUUCAGGUUUUUCUGGAGGGAGCAAACCUAGUGGAAUCACUGGCUUCCCAAGAAUUUUCUCAAAUAUUUUCAGGUACUCGCCUUCAAAUUCAGUGCAGCUACGGACAACCGCAGCUUGGCAAGCUGACAUUGUCUUAGCAAUCCGUUCAGCGUCACUUACGCCCGAUGCAUUCUCACCGUAGAAGCCAGAAAAAAAGUUGCGAGCCUCAUAGCUUCGAAAAGCUACGGAAGAGGGGAAAGUUAUCCAUUCUGGUGGUGAAGUUAGACUUUCUGGCGUUGCUCUGAAUCUCUUUCGGCCAUCACCGUCUAAAUAUUCUGGUGGUCCUAUAAAGGCUCUCAUAGCCCCAGAGAAAACAGACAGAUAUAGGAGUGGGAUACCAAAUUCUUUAGCAAUAUCAGCAGCCCAGUAAUGGCAAAAGUCAACGACUAACCAAUUGGGCCUUUUCUCAGCGACAAACUUCUUAAAGGGAUGUUGCAAGAGAUCAUAGGCGACUUUCAGGUACUGAAUCUUCUCGGAGGAGAUGUCUAUUGUGGCCUCAGCUCCUUCGGGCAAGCGACAUUCACCAUCCAGAGUAGGCAUUGGAAGCUCCACCAAGUUUAUUACAUGCGUUAAACUUGGUGAAAGUUUAGGGAGUCUCUGAAUAUUCCCUGGGGUUGAUACAAACGAGACGUGAACUCCAGCUUUGGCUAAUGCAAUGGAGAAUUGGAAAAACGGCAUUAUAUGGCCAAAGGCAGACCAUGGAAGGAUUGCCACAUGCAAAUCAGCUGCCAUAGCUAAUCGUUGAAUCUUUCGGAAAAAGCUGAAGAGGCCAAUACCUGAAAUGAGAAUAAUGGGCAACUACAAGAGAAUAUAUUAUCACUGUAUGAUGGGUAGAAAUAAUUUGUGUGUUACUAUUAAGGCUUUCGUAUGUGGUGACGCCAACACAUAACAUUUUUAAAUCUUCCGGCUGGAAGGGUUCCUAGCGGCUUCCUUGCUUGGUUAACAUUUUUUUCAGUUUGGGGUUAGUUGAGAUGUCUAUUUC
This 1988-nucleotide unclassified non-coding RNA is filed under the name Hevea brasiliensis (rubber tree). Lineage: Eukaryota; Viridiplantae; Streptophyta; Magnoliopsida; Malpighiales; Euphorbiaceae. The record is from RNAcentral.